GACGAACGCUGGCGGCGUGCCUAAUACAUGCAAGUUGAGCGCUGAAGGUUGGUCCUUGUACCAACUGGAUGAGCAGCGAACGGGUGAGUAACGCGUGGGGAAUCUGCCUUUGAGCGGGGGACAACAUUUGGAAACGAAUGCUAAUACCGCAUAAAAACUUUAAACACAAGUUUUAAGUUUGAAAGAUGCAAUUGCAUCACUCAAAGAUGAUCCCGCGUUGUAUUAGCUAGUUGGUGAGGUAAAGGCUCACCAAGGCGAUGAUACAUAGCCGACCUGAGAGGGUGAUCGGCCACAUUGGGACUGAGACACGGCCCAAACUCCUACGGGAGGCAGCAGUAGGGAAUCUUCGGCAAUGGACGAAAGUCUGACCGAGCAACGCCGCGUGAGUGAAGAAGGUUUUCGGAUCGUAAAACUCUGUUGGUAGAGAAGGACGUUGGUGAGAGUGGAAAGCUCAUCAAGUGACGGUAACUACCCAGAAAGGGACGGCUAACUACGUG
This 497-nucleotide ribosomal RNA is filed under the name uncultured bacterium. Its description in RNAcentral is "partial 16S ribosomal RNA". It matches the Rfam family "Bacterial small subunit ribosomal RNA", at positions 28 to 507 of the family's 1533-position model. The record is from RNAcentral.